UUCGCAAUGCCCGAAAGGGUGAACGAGCGGCGCCGCGUGCGGGAUGAAGGCCUUCGGGUCGUAAACCGCUUUUGCAAGGGAAAAACUUAAUGAUGGUACCUUGCGAAUAAGAGGUUACUAACUCUGUGCCAGCAGUAGCGGUAAUACAGAGACCUCAAGCAUUGUCCGGAAUUAUUGGGCGUAAAGAGUAUCGUAGGCGGUUGGUUAUGUGGUAGGUUAAAGCCUGGAGCUCAACUCCAGAGAUGCCUAUCAAACUAGCUAACUAGAGGAAGUUUGGGGAUGCUGGAAUUCUCGGUGGAGGUGUGAAAUCCGUUGAUAUCGAGAAGAACACCAAAGGCGAAGGCAGGCAUCUAAGACUUUCCUGACGCUGAUGAACGAAAGCUAGGGGAGCAAACGGGAUUAGAUACCCCGGUAGUCCUAGCCGUAAACGAUGGGCACUAAGUAGAGGGGUUUU
This 454-nucleotide ribosomal RNA is filed under the name uncultured bacterium. RNAcentral describes it as "bacterial SSU rRNA". It matches the Rfam family "Bacterial small subunit ribosomal RNA", at positions 364 to 832 of the family's 1533-position model. The record is from RNAcentral.